Long non-coding RNA from Ornithodoros turicata, 212 nucleotides. RefSeq lists it as uncharacterized. The transcript has 3 exons. Lineage: Eukaryota; Metazoa; Arthropoda; Arachnida; Ixodida; Argasidae. The record is from RefSeq and is a predicted model, not a curated record.
UAUUCAACUGGCGCGAGCUGCAGAGCCUUCCACCAGAUCAUAUGUCAUUAAACCACUUCUUGUUAGCUCUCGCACCAUGAAGGUUGUCUUGUCUCCUUCAAAGUGUUUGAAAGAGAGGGCAUUUCUGGCCACAUUCCUGGGCAUUUCCAAUUUUCGUUCUUGUUUUUUCGAGAGAGUGUUUGAAAGAGAGGGCAUUUCUGGCCACAUUCCUG